This 360-nucleotide ribosomal RNA is filed under the name Vairimorpha ceranae. Its description in RNAcentral is "16S rRNA". It matches the Rfam family "Microsporidia small subunit ribosomal RNA", at positions 44 to 398 of the family's 1311-position model. The record is from RNAcentral. Lineage: Eukaryota; Fungi; Microsporidia; Nosematidae.
UAACCCAUGCAUGUUUUUGACAUUUGAAAAAUGGACUGCUCAGUAAUACUCACUUUAUUUUAUGUAAAUUUUUGAUUAAUUAACUACGUUAAAGUGUAGAUAAGAUGUUUACAGUAAGAGUGAGACCUAUCAGCUAGUUGUUAAGGUAAUGGCUUAACAAGGCUGUGACGGGUAACGGUAUUACUUUGUAAUAUUCCGGAGAAGGAGCCUGAGAGACGGCUACUAAGUCUAAGGAUUGCAGCAGGGGCGAAACUUGACCUAUGGAUUUUAUCUGAGGCAGUUAUGGGAAGUAAUAUUAUAUUGUUUCAUAUUUUAAAAGUAUAUGAGGUGAUUAAUUGGAGGGCAAAUCAAGUGCCAGCA